UACGGAGGGUGCAAGCGUUAAUCGGAAUUACUGGGCGUAAAGCGCGCGUAGGCGGCUCGAUCAGUCGGGUGUGAAAUCCCUGGGCUCAACCUGGGAACUGCAUUCGAUACUGUCGAGCUAGAGUGUGGGAGAGGGUAGUGGAAUUCCCGGUGUAGCGGUGAAAUGCGUAGAGAUGUGGAGGAACACCGAUGGCGAAGGCAGCCCCCUGGGUCAACACUGACGCUCAUGCACGAAAGCGUGGGGAGCAAACAGG
This 253-nucleotide ribosomal RNA is filed under the name uncultured bacterium. RNAcentral's name for it is "partial 16S ribosomal RNA". It matches the Rfam family "Bacterial small subunit ribosomal RNA", at positions 524 to 776 of the family's 1533-position model. The record is from RNAcentral.